Molecule: long non-coding RNA, 439 nt
Filed under: Bos taurus (domestic cattle)
Lineage: Eukaryota; Metazoa; Chordata; Mammalia; Artiodactyla; Bovidae
Description: long non-coding RNA NONBTAT025970
Source: RNAcentral
CAUCUAAAUUAUCAGUUUAUUAAAUUUUAAUUUGUAAGUUGAAAGCACUAAAACAAAAAGGUAAAUAGUUCCAAUUCAAAGGGAGAAUUAUAGACAUCAAUCCAACAGCAUUAACAGUAGUUUUUCAUGAUAGUGACACCUGAUCUUUAACAUUUUUGUUUGGGUCUCUGACUGUGAACAAACUUGGAAAAGGUUGGUUCUGGUUAGAUCUUGGAGCUAUGGCAAAAAAACAAUAGGUACUAACUGGUCUAUGGGGAAAUUAAAUGCAUAUUUGGUACGUUUUAACAACAUUGACAAGUAAAUGCAAGUUUUAAGGUGAGAAGAAAUGAGCACGAUUAACCUUCUGAUGAUUAUACCAUAGCGUUUUGCUAUGCUAUGCCACUUCUCCCACGCCCGUUACAAGUUUUAGAGGAAUUAUCAUCUCCAAAUACGACUUCUU